This 377-nucleotide ribosomal RNA is filed under the name uncultured Planctomycetota bacterium. RNAcentral describes it as "bacterial SSU rRNA". It matches the Rfam family "Bacterial small subunit ribosomal RNA", at positions 521 to 896 of the family's 1533-position model. Lineage: Bacteria; Pseudomonadati; Planctomycetota. The record is from RNAcentral.
UAAUACGAAGGGUCCUAGCGUUGUUCGGAAUUAUUGGGCUUAAAGCGCACGCAGGCGGGAGACUAAGUGUUUUGUGAAAUCCCUCGGCUUAACCGAGGAACUGCUUGGCAUACUGGUUUCCUUAAGGCAGGUAGAGGUGCAUGGAACUCUAGGUGGAGCGGUGAAAUGCGUAGAUAUCUAGAGGAACGCCAGUGGUGAAAACGGUGCACUGGGCCUGUCCUGACGCUGAGGUGCGAAAGCGUGGGGAGCGAAGAGGAUUAGAUACCCUCGUAGUCCACGCCGUAAACGAUGUCUACUAGGUUGCGGAGGCUCUGACGUCCUCGCAGCCGAAGCAAAAGUGAUAAGUAGACCGCCUGGGGAGUACGGUCGCAAGGCUA